Molecule: long non-coding RNA, 1242 nt
Organism: Macaca mulatta (Rhesus monkey)
Lineage: Eukaryota; Metazoa; Chordata; Mammalia; Primates; Cercopithecidae
Source: RefSeq, a predicted model, not a curated record
CACCUCAGCCUCCCAACUAGCUGAACUACAGAACCAUGUGUUGAAGUCGUAACCUCCAAUGCGAUGGUAUCAGGAGAUGGGGCAGUUGGAGUGGCAUGAAGACUCCCAAUGGCCAACAGCAGUCUCAACAUCCAAUUCAAUGGAGCUGCAGUUGUGUCCUCUGGUGGAAGCAUUUGUCUCUUGGGAGCUAUGACCGUGACCUCCAAACCUGCAGAGCUCAGAGCUGUGGAGAUGGGAAGAAAAAUUCUGCAAGCAGGUUAUUAGGUGUUCAGUGAGAGGAGCUGCUCCCAUGUCUAUCUGGAAUCCUAUAUUCUGGUGACGAGAGAAAAAGCAUCACAUUCUGACUGAUUUGUGAUCCAAAGCAUAAACUGCAUCCUGUACAAUAGAAGUCAAAUCCUUUCAAGUUCUUCUUUCACCCUGGACGAUUUUCUCUUGAGAGAUCAUUUAUCGUACCAGAAAUCUGGUAUGGUAAAGCAGAUUUUGGAGGCAAAGACAGGGAGGUGAGGCCUGAGUCUUGAAACAGAAAGAAAAGAGGACCAUAGAGAGAAAGCACACAGAGGGGCCCAGACUUUGUGUUGUUCAUGUCCUUGAGUGAGGGGUUAACAGGGAGAAGAAGAGUCAGUAGAGGAGUUCUCAUAAGAAGAACUCAUAAGUGCCACAUGAAUUGCUCUAAAGACAGAGUCUCAAGGAGAGAGGCUCAGCACUUCCAGGCACCACAGGUUAGCCAGCAGAGAGGGAUGAGCUUGGCUCUGGGCAUCCCUUGCUAGGGCACCCAUUCUCUGUGAACUCUUGUGCCUCAAUCUCAUUGACUGGCUUUCGAGGCUUAAAGCAGAAAAGCACCGUGUAACUUGGCUUAGGAAUUGCUCUUAGGCAAAUCUAUAGAUCCUGGUCUUUUUACAUCUACUCUCCCCAGAAGCCAGCAGUGGGAGCUCCACUGAUGAGUCCAAAUGGAAAACGUUCCUGGGUAUUUUUGGUUCCCAGCCCCAUCUUCCAGCCUGGAGAGGAGGGUUGUAACAGUUCACAACAUGAGUUCUGGUCAAAAUUCAGUUACUCCAGCAGCAAAAGCCAAACCUGUGAGAGGCAGAGGGGUUGUGCCUUCAGACUGGCUCUUGUACAGGGUGAGAAGACCUUGUGCUGAUAGGACUCACCUGUUUGGCACAGGCGGCACCCAUUGGCGCUGUUCAUGGUCCUGAACUACAGCUGCUGGUCUCUCUCUCUCUCUCUCUUUUUUUUUUUUUUUGA